RNAcentral lists this ribosomal RNA (216 nucleotides) under Escherichia coli. Its description in RNAcentral is "partial 23S ribosomal RNA". It matches the Rfam family "Bacterial large subunit ribosomal RNA", at positions 2732 to 2925 of the family's 2925-position model. Lineage: Bacteria; Pseudomonadati; Pseudomonadota; Gammaproteobacteria; Enterobacterales; Enterobacteriaceae. RNAcentral also lists the same sequence under 1 other name. The record is from RNAcentral.
AUGGCACUGCCCGGUAGCUAAAUGCGGAAGAGAUAAGUGCUGAAAGCAUCUAAGCACGAAACUUGCCCCGAGAUGAGUUCUCCCUGACCCUUUAAGGGUCCUGAAGGAACGUUGAAGACGACGACGUUGAUAGGCCGGGUGUGUAAGCGCAGCGAUGCGUUGAGCUAACCGGUACUAAUGAACCGUGAGGCUUAACCUUACAACGCCGAAGCUGUU